AUCCUUCUCUGCUUCAUAAGUGCACGAUGAUCAGGCUUUCAUGCUAUUGAGUGAGAUAGGUGUCCCUCAAUCUUGUGACCUCUGGGCACAUUAUCCUUCUGCUU
Small nucleolar RNA from Tupaia belangeri (northern tree shrew), 104 nucleotides. The record is from Ensembl. Lineage: Eukaryota; Metazoa; Chordata; Mammalia; Scandentia; Tupaiidae.